Molecule: ribosomal RNA, 534 nt
Filed under: Triticum aestivum (bread wheat)
Lineage: Eukaryota; Viridiplantae; Streptophyta; Magnoliopsida; Poales; Poaceae
Description: partial small subunit ribosomal RNA
Source: RNAcentral
AUGGAUCCUGUCGUGACCAGCAGUAGCAGCAGCAGGAGGAGAGGAGGCUACGGCUGCAAGGAGAGCUGCCAUGGCCACUGCCUACCUCCUCACUCUGCCAAAUGCCUCUGCCUCUACCUGCUGCUCUCGCUGAUCGUCCUCGUCCUCGUCGCGGCCGUGCUGCUCGUCGUCUUCGUCACGAGGCUCAAGAAGCCGACCUUCUACCCGCAGUCCGUGCAGAUGGACAGGUCGUUCAGCCUCAGACCGGCGUCUUCGAACCGCAGCGGCGACAACGCGACGUCGUCGUCCUCGUGCUUGGUGGCGUCGCUGCUGUUCGCGGCGCAGAACCUGAACGGGAUCGGGAUAAGGUACAGCGGGGCGGACCUCGGCGUGGCCCUGCCCCUACGCGACCGAGUCGGUCGGCGCCAUGGACGUGCCGGUGUUCUACCAGCCGCCGCGGAGCAGCAUCGUGAUGGUGCUCAUGCACGCCGUGUUCGAGGAGUCCAACGUCAGCCGGCUCGUCGUCAGCGAGCUGUCGGCGCAGAGGAAGCUCGU